Molecule: microRNA, 22 nt
Filed under: Xenopus laevis (African clawed frog)
Lineage: Eukaryota; Metazoa; Chordata; Amphibia; Anura; Pipidae
Description: xla-miR-98-3p
Gene: xla-miR-98-3p
Source: miRBase by way of RNAcentral
CUAUACAGUUUACUGCCUUCCC